Molecule: ribosomal RNA, 484 nt
Filed under: uncultured bacterium
Lineage: Bacteria
Description: partial 16S ribosomal RNA
Rfam family: Bacterial small subunit ribosomal RNA
Source: RNAcentral
AUUGAACGCUGGCGGCAGGCCUAACACAUGCAAGUCGAGCGGCUGAAGGGAGCUUGCUCCUGGAUUCAGCGGCCGACGGGUGAGUAAUGCCUAGGAAUCUGCCUGGCAGUGGGGGCUAACGUGCGGACAUGGGCGCUAAUACCGCAUUCGUCCUGACGGCGUACGUGGGGGAUCAUCGGACCUCAGGCUCUUAGAUGAGUCUAGGUCGGAUUAGCUAGUUGGUGGGGUAAAGGCCUACCAAGGCGACGAUCCGUAACUGGUCUGAGAGGAUGAUCAGUCACACUGGAACUGAGACACGGUCCAGACUCCUACGGGAGGCAGCAGUGGGGAAUAUUGGACAAUGGGCGAAAGCCUGAUCCAGCCAUGCCGCGUGUGUGAAGAAGGUCUUCGGAUUGUAAAGCACUUUAAUUGGGAAAGAAAAGCAGUAAGUUAAUACCUUGCUGUUUUGACGGUACCAACAGAAUAAGCACCGGCUAACUUCGUG